CUAAUCCUUUAGCAAAUUGGGAUUCACUGUGAUAUAACGAAACCAAACAUGCUACAACCUAUCCGCGAUCUUCACGAGAGCAUCCGCCAGCUUAUUGAGAACGCCGAGCAAUCCGUCCGCCUGAUCUUUCCUCAGAUCGAUCAGUCGAUGCUGGAGACCGAGCGUCUCCUCAUCCCCCGCUUCUGCUACUGGCCGUUUUCGCUUCCUCCCCUCUUCGGGACGGCGUUUGGACUCGGGGGCUGCGCUCGUGAGAUUCUCAUCCAACAUGCCUGCAGAGUAUUAUAAGUUAGGAGGGGAAAAAAAAAAAAGGAGUGGAAUGGAUAGUCUACUAUGAUCAACAUCAGAAGGGCCAAAGACUAAUGCCCGGACGGAUAACAAUUGACGGUAUAAUUAGAAUUGUUCCGUGCCAUGUAAUUGAAAGGAAAUAAAUUAGUCCGGCGGUGCGUAUAGAACCGUCGGACUUUAGUUGAAAGA
Molecule: non-coding RNA, 474 nt
Organism: Punica granatum (pomegranate)
Lineage: Eukaryota; Viridiplantae; Streptophyta; Magnoliopsida; Myrtales; Lythraceae
Source: RefSeq, a predicted model, not a curated record